RNAcentral lists this long non-coding RNA (356 nucleotides) under Phoenix dactylifera (date palm). RNAcentral's name for it is "long non-coding RNA (PDAC_LNC022580)". The record is from RNAcentral. Lineage: Eukaryota; Viridiplantae; Streptophyta; Magnoliopsida; Arecales; Arecaceae.
AAAUUAAUUUUUAAAUUUAUUAAUAAAAUUAUAAAUUAUAUAAAUUCUGUAAAAACAACAGUUAAUGUCAUCAUUAACAUCGUCCAUAUAUCAACAACAUAUAAAAAUUUCAAAACGAAAUGGAAUCAUUGAAUCAUUUCCUAAUUUUUGGCAAUUUUUGACUUAAUUUUUUUAAGCAAUUUAAAUGAAAUAUUAAAAAAACAAUGCAGGGGAAAGAAAUUUUACCUUAUUUUGUUUUUGCUGGAUUUUUCUUCAAGAAAAACGCUGCUCUCCGACCUUUCUAAUUUUUUUUCAUGCCUUUGUCUUUGCCUUUCUCUUCUUUUUCUCCUCCUUUCUCUUUGCCUUUCCUUCACUUA